GGUUGAUUCUGCCGGCAAUCAUUCGCUCGUCUCAAAGAUUAAGCCAUGCAUGUGUAAGUUUAACUGGGUUAAAUGGAAAACUGCGGACGGCUCAUUAUAUCAGUUAGAAUCUUAUGGAGAGUGUGGUGUUAUAAGGAUAACUGUAGUAAUUCUAGAGCAAAUACUUGCGAAAAAACGUAACUUUAAGGAGCGUUGCAUAUAUUUGAUUAAGCCAACAUUUGUGGUGAUUCAUGAUAUCUUAGCGGACUGCAGUGCUUCGGCGGCAGUGAUUCCAUCGACUUUCUGCCCCAUCAGCUGGAUUGUAGGGUAGUGGCCUACAAUGGCGGUAACGGGUGACGGAGAAUUAGGGUUUGAUUCCGGAGAGGGAGCCU
RNAcentral lists this ribosomal RNA (371 nucleotides) under uncultured Symbiodinium. RNAcentral describes it as "partial Eukaryotic small subunit ribosomal RNA". It matches the Rfam family "Eukaryotic small subunit ribosomal RNA", at positions 6 to 397 of the family's 1831-position model. The record is from RNAcentral. Lineage: Eukaryota; Dinophyceae; Suessiales; Symbiodiniaceae.